GAGAGGCGCUGACAGACAGGCAAAAAAGGUUCUGUAACUGAUUCCUUGUGCACGCUGGAUAAAUUCCGCGAGGGAAGUGUGUGGGAGGAAGCUGGUGAAGAGGAGAGGAGCAAGGAGCAACGCUGCCAGACGAGGAAAGAAGUGCGUGGAAGUCUGGUGAAGGGAACGGAAGGACGGCACCGGAGAGGAAGGUUGUGGAAGUGCGCCACCUCCUGCUCUCUCUCCACGUUUUGUAAGAUCUUGUUUUAGAUCUGCCGCUAGAGGACAGCCUCAGAUGCAAACAAUAAGCAGUCACCAGUUGAGCGCCACGUUUGUAUCACACCACCACCACCACCACCACCACAACAAGGACACACCCGGCCCCGCUGCAGCCACCCUCAGAGAACAAGAAAACCUAACUGGUCUCUAGAUCGUUCACGUUCUCUUGCUGGUACGAAGUGUUUGCGAUGAUAAUUUUUCAGCGGGUCACGGCUGAGCUGCGAGUAUAUGACAGCUUCGUAAAUCCCCACGCUGUGAUGGAGUGCGUGGCCGGAUCCAUUGCUGGCCAUGAAUAAAAAGGAGCCUAAUCUAUGACUGUAUAUUUUGUAUAGCGAGUGAAAAGCAACAUAUAUAUCUUCCCCCCCCUGUCUUUUUCAUCCUCCUGACCCCCUCUACCAAUAAAAAUGAAUAAAAAAAUCUAGCAGUACCAAACCUAUAUUGAAAAAGUCAUAAAAAAGCAACGUGCGGUCGUGAAUUUGGGUCUUUCCACUGCAUAGUCAAGAGUAGAAAAAUGUUCCCCUUUGCCAUAAACGUAUAAAGAAAAUACCUAUUCCUUUCGCUAUAACUAUAUAAAGAAACCAUCUUUCAAUACACGGGUUUGGCGGAGCGCUGGGAGAACAGAGUUAGAGGGAGAGAGACCACAAAAAAACCCAUGAAAAAACAAGUGUUGCAGCAAUUCAAUGUACGGCAAUCAAGGUAAAAUCAUCCAAUUUAUCUCAGCCAUUGAGCGGCAUUCAUGGCGCAGCGUAUGGACGGCUGAACGAAAGGCGGGGGGCGAGAUGGGGUUCGUGAGCCCGCUGUGGUCACUGUCCAGUCACCCCUGCGUGCAAAAUGAUGGGUACACGCGAGAGUUAGUUGUUAUUACUAAUGCCACUAAUAUUCCACUACCGUUGCCCUUUUAUGAUUUGACCUCCAGUUUUUUUUUUUAAUCUCCUAACAGUUUUAUAUAAUAUAUUUGUUAUUCAUGGUAGUAACGUUCCCAAGUAUUGUUUUUUGAUCAUUGCUUUCACAUUGUCAUUUUUUUCCUUGAUCCUUCGCUUUCUCCUCGCCACCUGAACGUGACGAGUCGAGUUUUUCAACGUGUCAUGACUCGGCCUGUUAAUAAAGGACGAUGAAUGAAUAGAUAAGACCAAAUAAGCUUUUCAGAAUUACUCUCUGUAGAUAUAUCUGACAUUUACACAUCACUGAG
This is a long non-coding RNA of Portunus trituberculatus (swimming crab), 1447 nucleotides long. RefSeq lists it as uncharacterized. The record is from RefSeq and is a predicted model, not a curated record. Lineage: Eukaryota; Metazoa; Arthropoda; Malacostraca; Decapoda; Portunidae. The transcript has 4 exons.